Molecule: long non-coding RNA, 597 nt
Organism: Bubalus bubalis (water buffalo)
Lineage: Eukaryota; Metazoa; Chordata; Mammalia; Artiodactyla; Bovidae
Exons: 2
Source: RefSeq, a predicted model, not a curated record
CCUAGUAGAGGCCGCCGCGGUCUCCGGCUUCAACGCACAGAGACUGCGGGGGAAGAGAGCACUGCGCAGGCGCGAUGCGGCCGCCGCUGUCAGUCCGAGCGGGGCGGGGCCAGGGCACCCGCCGUCUCCAAGAUAACUCACCCCAACCUUGUCUUAGAAAUUUGGCACCAAAAAACUUGGUUUUGUUCCCACCAGGAGAAAGGACUGACUAUUAGCUGUUGGGUCACUGAGGCUCCUGUCUCUCAACACUUUUUUUUUUUGACCAGACCACAAGGCAUGUGGAACUUCCCUGACCAGGGAUCAAACCUGUGACUCUUGCAGUGGACGUGCACAGUCUUAACCACUGGACCACCAGGGAAGCAUUCAGCGGUUUUUUAAUCUUCAAACUCUGUUCAGGCCUCCCAGUGAACUGCCAUCUGCCACGCAACACAAGUGAAGAACCAAAGCUGAGUUUUUUGGCCUUUUUUUUAGUGGCUAAAGCCUCACCCCAGCCACUAUGGAAGAAAAGGUCCCCCCACCAAACUCCUUCUUCUUUGAAGAAACACAACUGAGACCAAGCGAGAAGUAGCUAUAGUUUAAUACAAACCUGCACCAGAA